GUUCUUAAAUAUGAAUAAUUUAAAAAGUUAUCAAAGGAAAUCUUGAUAGAAAAAUAAAGACGUCGCGCGACGAAACAUCAUAGAAAGGCACUUGCUUAUGAACUAUGAGUUUCUUUAAGAAAACUCGCAUUUAAUAUGCUUUUAUACAUUUAUGUGAAUUGAAUCAUCUUAGUAACAUAUUAAAAAAUCAAACGAGAAUUUGUAAGUAACGGUGAGUGAAAGCGAAUCUAGCUAUGUGCUGAAACCCAAAGAAGGUAAUUAAGUCCUUUGUAGCAUUAAUAAUAAUACAAAGUAGUAUGAUUAAUUUUGUACGAAAAUAGGAGUACCAUCUUCUAAGCUAGAAAUUUUUCUAAUCGAUAGUGAACGAGUACUGUGAAGGAAAGAUUUGAAUUUGCUAAUUUAUAUUUAUUUGAAGCUAAUAUAUAUAGCAACAAAGUGCCUUUUGCAUAAUGAGUCAGUAAGUUAGUAUAUGUAGCAAGCUUAAAAGUAUUAAGGCAUUAAAAGUUACAUGUAUUAGACCCGAAGUCAAGUGAUCUAUUUUUAAGCAAGCUGAAGAUGUUUUAAAACGCAUUGAAGGGCUGAACCCACGUCUGUUGAAAAAUACGGGGAUGACUUAAGAAUAGGGGUGAAAGUCCAAUCAAACUUGGUGAUAGCUGGUUUUCCGCGAAAACUAUCAAAGUAGUACGUUGCUUUUAAAAAAUGUGGGUAGAGCUACUUAUUAAACUUAGAUUUUGCUAUGUUUUAUUAAACUCCAAACUAUAUUUUUUCUAAGCAGCAGACAGUCAUUAGGCGAUAAGGUCUAAUGUCAAAAGGGAAACAACCCUAAUCGGUAGCUAAGAUCUCAAAAUUAUGAAUUAGUGAAAAAAUGAAAAAUAAUUCGAAUAAACAGAGUAGGCUUAGAAGCAGCCAUCUAUUGGAGAAAGCGUUUUAGCUCAUUAUUUUUACUUAUUUUGUUCAUUUAUAAUGUAAAGAGGCUUAAAUUUAUAUAUCGAAGCACCGAAUUAAGUUAUAUUUAGCUUAGUGGUAGCGGAACGUCCUGUAGUCUUUUAUGUUAAUGUUAAAUUGCAUAUUAAAAAUCAGGAGUGCUAAUGCUGACAUGAGUAGCGUCAAUCAUGUUGAAAACAAAUCAUGAUCGUCUAUUGUUCAAGGGUUUUCAGUAAAUUUUAAGUAACUGAAUUUAGUCGGCCCUUAAAAAAAAAGCGAAAGCUGUAUUUGAUAGGAAAGUUGGUCCACAUGUCUGCAAAACAUUCUUUUGUUUUGUGUAAAAAAUCAAUAUUUUUAAAUUCUGCUCAGUAAACUAGCAACUUUAAGAAAUUGUUUUUCAGGAAAACUUACAUGAAGUUUGACCGUACCUAAAACCGACACAGGUGAACUUAUUGAAAAGAUAAAGACGAGUGAGCGAAUUAUACUUAAGGAACUCGGCAAAUUUGCUCUGUACGUUCGCAAAAAAGAGCACCUUAAAGGUUUCAAGAAUUAGGGGUAGCGACUGUUUAACAAAAACUUAAAACUUUGCAAAUUCUAAAGAAGACGUAUAAGGUUUGAUGCCUGCCCAGUGCUUGAAAGCGAAAAAUAGAUGUUAAUGCAUAUAUUAUAAACUCAAGUAAACGGCGGUCUUAACUAUAAGGAUCCUCAGGUAGCGAAAUUCCUUGGCGGGUAAAUUCCGUCCUGCAUGAAUGGCAUCACGACUACCCCACUGUCUCUAGUAUAACCUCAGCGAAAUUACAUUGUCUGUGAAAAUGCAGACAUCCUACAACAAGACGGAAAGACCCUAUGAUUCUUAACUAUAAUUUUACAUCGUAAUAAUUUUGUACAUAGUACAGUAAAAGUAGGAGUAUAUUUAUACAACUUUGAAAAACUACUUUAUGUAUAGAAAAUUACUUACUAAAGAGGAAAUGUGUAAAAGUGGUAGUUUACUUGGGACGAGGACCUCCUAAACUGUAACGGAGGUGCACAAAAGUAAAUUUUAAUUAGUUAUUUACACUAAUGUAACACGUAAUGGUAAAAGUUUGCUUGACGGUAAGAACUACAAUUCAAACUGAGACGAAAGUCAGUCAUAAUGAUCCGGCAGUAACGUAUGGAAGUACUGUCGCUUAUCGGAAAAAAGAAACUCUAGGGAUAACAGAUUUAUCAUGGUUGAGAGUUCUUAUCGAUGCCAUGGUUUGAUACCUCGAUGUCGGCUCAUCUUUUCCUGGAGCUGUAACAGGUUCCAAGGGUAUGGUUGUUCGCCAAAUAAUAAGAUACGUGAGCUGGGUUCAGAACGUCGUGAGACAGUUCGGUCCCUAUCUGUUGUGGGUAAGAAAAAAAAAAGAUUUAUCUUUAGUACGAGAGGAUUAAGAUAUAUUAACCAAUAGUGUAUCGGUUGUAUUGUUUUUUGCAUCGCCGAGUAGCCACGUUAACAUUAUAUAAGUGCUGACAGCUUAAAAGCGCAAAAAAAAUCUUCCUUUUUUUCUGGAACAUUCUAGAAGAUUACUAGAUAGAUCGGCUUACUAUUUAAUACUUGUAAGAGUAAGUAAGUAAAUACGAAAAGUUCAUUAUAAUUUAUACUAUAUUUAAGAACGGGUUUUAUCCCGUUCUUAAA
Molecule: ribosomal RNA, 2578 nt
Filed under: Pyropia perforata
Lineage: Eukaryota; Rhodophyta; Bangiophyceae; Bangiales; Bangiaceae
Description: large subunit ribosomal RNA
Rfam family: Bacterial large subunit ribosomal RNA
Source: RNAcentral